Molecule: long non-coding RNA, 119 nt
Organism: Etheostoma spectabile (orangethroat darter)
Lineage: Eukaryota; Metazoa; Chordata; Actinopteri; Perciformes; Percidae
Exons: 3
Source: RefSeq, a predicted model, not a curated record
UCAUUCCUGGAGUCUGAACUGGUCUGAUGGUGGUUACUCUGUCUGUCACAAUAACAGAAAAACAGUCCUCACUUCCUGUUCUGUCUCUAACAGAGUAGCAUCCCUCUCCUCUCUCCUCU